GCGUUGUUCCCGGUUCCAGACUCCACACGGAGCCAGUCUCUUUUCCUGUCACAAUAUUCAAACCACCUUUUAAAAUUUUGUUUCGUUUCAUAGCAUUUCCCUCCAUCUGGCCAAAUAAAAUCCCCACCAGCUGGGUUUCACAAUACCUGGCAGCCACAUCAGCUGUCUUCCUGGAGCCUGGAGCUGGAUUUCCCCUGACCUGACCACACCCUCCUCCCUCACAUUCUUAGCCACACUCUCUGUCAGUCACCCUUCUCCCGGGCCCAGGCUGACUCUUAGGGAGGUGCCUUCUGCAUUCCUGGAAAGAAGCGGCAGUUGCAUCUUACAGCUGGCAAAAUAGUCUCCCACACGAUGGAACUGACCUACUCGGAUGGGCACGAGAAAUUGUCUCAUGCCAUCUACAACCGAGGAUGCUGCGCAGAUUUCACUGAGGUCAUCUUUAAGUGUUCCCCAUCUUAGACCACAGAAUAACUUCAUUCAGGACAUGCCGCUCCCUCCCGUUGCUGAACUUCGCCAGAGACAGGAUCAAGAGAUAAAGAAAAUGUAUUACUCAGCCACAAAGAAAGAUAAAUUUGAGUCAUUUGCAGAAAAAUCAACGGCUCUUGAGACCACAGUUCCAAGCGAAAUAAAUCAGACACAGGAGGUUAAAUAUUGUAUUGUUUCUUUAAUAGGAGACAUCCAAACUAUAAAUGAUAUAAAGAGCAAAAUAAAAAGGAGGUGGUGGGAAACAAGAAGGUGGACUCUCUGGAGAUGGGAAGGGGAUCUGACAGCAAAGGGAGAAGGGAGGACAGUGUGGGUAAGGUGGAGGAAAAAUGACCACAGUGUGACAUGUACAUAAACCAGUUCCCCCCAUGAGUGUAGCGGUACUGUGCUGCAAUGCAUGCUCAUGAAGAAAGAGUCAGCAAGAAGGUCUGUUGACCAUUAAGGCAGUCUCGGGGCACAGAGCCAGAGCAGAGGGCAGAUCUGGAAAGGAGGAAGGCUGGUAAUUGCACGGCUUCUAUUUUGUGACUGCCUGGCAAUUCUCAGACGCCCUCUAAUCCUCACAAAAUUCUACAGAGUGAAGAUUAUUUUCUGCAGUUUACACCUGAGAAAAUUGAUGCUCAGGUCCUUUACUGUGAUUCACCAUGUUUGUUACGAUGCAAAAUCAUAAUAAUAUAAUGAAGAAAAACAGCUAAAAAAUAUACAGGUAUAUAUGCACUAGAAACAGUUUAAUUUCCAAUGAUAAUAAAAUGUUUUAGCAAUCUUUCCAUACAAGGGAACUUUCUUAAAUCAGUAAAGAAAAAAAUAUUUAAAUCUAUAGAAAAUAUUAUAUUUGGUGGUGGGAAUGUACAAACAAUUUUAAAAUAAAAAUUGUCCUCUGUAUCACUUAUGUUUAAUAAUUUAAUGGAAGUCUGAGCUACUGAAGGUCUUAACUAAUAGAGGACAAAAAUAUAGAAAACAUACAAUGAUUGCUAUGUGUCUUCCAAUAUUUAUGUAUUGGAAAUUUAAUCCCCACUGUAAUAGUAUUGGUAGGUGGGGCCUGACCAGGGGGUGUUAUGACCUAGAUGAACUAGACCACAGUAAAAAGGGCUUGUGGGAGUGGCUACCCUUCUUUCACUUUCCUUCCAUAUGAGCAUUAAUCCUCUCCUGCCUCCUUCUUUACCCCAGGUGAGACCUCAGUAAGAGACUCACAGCAUAAGCUGUAGACUUAGUCUUGGAUUUUUAAGCCUCCCAAAGAGUAAGAAAGAAAUUUCUGUUCUUUAUAAAUUACACACUUUGUGCUAUUUUGUUAUAGUAGCACAGAAUGGACUAAGGCAAGAAAUGAACAAAAAUCCCAUAACAAACCCCAGAAGAUCUCUAGGCAACUUGUUGGUCUAAGCCAUAUUCAAGAAGAUGGCUAGAUAAAAGAGCACUAUACAAAACUCAACUGUGUCUUCACAUGCUAGCAACAGAGAGAACAUGUGGUUUUGAAAAAUAAGAACUCUAAAAUUACAGCAAUACAUGCCUACGUAUGUCUACAGCAGCACAAUUCAUAGUAUAAAAUUCAUAAUAUAUAAGUCUUGGAAGUAGCCUGUAUGUCCAUCAGCAGAUGAAUGGCUAAAGAAAAUGCAGUAUUUACAUACAAUGGAGUACUACUCUGCCACAAAGAAAGAUAAACUCGAAUCAAUAGUAGGAAAAUGGAUGCACCAUAAGACCACAAUGUUAAGUAAAAUAAACUGGACAAACAAAUCUAAAUAUCACAUGGUUUCUUUUAUAUGAGAAACUCGGGUUAUAAAAAGCAGAAUAAGAGAUAGAUAACAGGAAGUAGGGAGACAGAGCUUUCUAAAAUGGGAAGGAGGCUAAGAGAAAGAGGGAGGAGGAUGGAGGAAAGGGAAAGGGGACAAACGGGUGAAGAUGUGUUAUGCACACACUCCAACUCCACACAGGAAAUAGAAACAUGAUGCACUGCAAGCAUGUCCUAAUAAAAAGGAGAUCUAGAAACAAACCUAAUAAAAUAUGUGUAUGACUUGUGGGAGAACAGUUACAAAGUUUCCUGAAAGACAUGAAAGAGACUUGAAGGGAAAAGAUGCUCCUGGUCAUGUUUGGGUUCAGAAAAUAUAACGUCUCUCUCAGAUUAAUCUCUAAAUUCAACUUAAUUCUAAUGAGAAUGCCAAAAGGAUUUGGUAGAACUGGAAAGUCCACCAUAAAAACAACAUCAGAGAAACAAGAAUUCAGCAUACCGAGACAAUACUAGAUAGGAUCAAUCAGAAACCAAGACUUACUGUAAAACUGUAAUAAUUGAGAAAACAUCGCUGCCUCAUAGGCCGUGGAAGGAGGGCUGCCGGUACACAGGGAGCCACUGGCAGGGAGCGCCGGUCUUCCAGCUGGCUAGUUUCCUGCCUCGUAGGCUCCCGGAGGGAGGGUCCCCGGCGCAUGGGGAGCCAUGCGGCGGUGAGCGUUGUUGCGCACCGGCCCUUAGGCCGGCCGCCGCCACUCAAUUGAGAUCUAUCAUGACACAGAGAAACAGUGACACAAUUGGUCCACCAUGCAAUGACUGCAGAUGCCCACCCACGGACGUGUGUGAAUCAUUCAAACUUUGAACAACAUGCCAUACAACGGGACACUCUUUGAAUACAUGCCAUACAAUGGGACACUCUUGCUCCUGCCAUUGAGAACCAGAAAGGUCCAGAGCCAGCGGAGGAGCAGCUGCUGAACAAGGACUCGGAGAACAUGAGAAUGCAGACUAAGCCCACGGAGUCAGAGGUCCUGUGGACUGGGGUCACGAGAGCCGCUUGGAAGCUGUAAACCAGGAGGACCUUGCAGAACCCCUGGAGAGACUCACUGGAAGCCAUUCUUCCCCUGACAGUACAGGCUGUGGUGGAGCUCCGGAGAAGUCUGCAGCAGGAUUCCUGCUGCAUGUGCUGACAGUUGGGGAGAGGACACUAACUGGUUGUGGGGUCCCAAUGCGAUGGGAGGCUGGAGAGAAAACACUGCAAAAAAUGGCUUUUGCUCCAGAUGGCUCACUUGAUUUUUGACAACCCUUAGGCUGUAACUACUUGUUAGAUCCUUCUUGUGUAUCUCUGUAUUCCUGAGAAACCACUUUGAAGAUACCACCAUGUAUUACAACAGUCAUUGAUAUUUUCCUACUAAUCUAUCCAUAACUCUGUAAUGUUUGCAUUGUUCCUAUCCUAUUUCAUAAACGGAUCCAUGUUUAUUAUUGUGUGUUUCCUACAACAACCAUUGAGAAUUAUUGAAUGAUUAUUCAAUAGGUCACUCAUGUAUAGUUCUAUUUAUAUUCUUUAGAAGCCACUUUGAAGAUACCUAAGUAUAAUACAACAACUAUGGAUAAUCUCCUACCUGUUUUGUCUGUAACUCACUAUCAUUUGUCUAUUUGUUUUCCUGAGAAACUAUCUUGUAGAUAACAAUAUGUAAAACAAUAAUCAUUGAUAAUUUCCUACUACUUUGUCUGUAAUUUGGUAAGCCCCCCCUAUUAUUAUGUUACCCUUCUUUUACUCUUUAAAAUAAAAAAAAAUUGAGAAAACAUAACAAGAAAUAAAACAAAUGGAAGAAAAGAACUUAGAUAGAGUCAUACAUAUUUGGUUACUGAUUAUAUGGCAGAAAGGGCAAUACUAAUCAGUGGGGUAAAAGAGUCAGACAAUUAGUUGCCCAUACCAAAAAAAAAACCAUUUGGUCCUCAGCUUAGACCAUAUACAAGUAUCAUCUGUAGCUAUAUAAAGACAUAAUUUUGAAAUAAACCUAAGAAGAAUUUCAGAAGAAUACAUCUUUGUGGCUUUGUGGUAACAUGAAUUGUUUUUUGUUUUGUUUUGUUUUUUUGAGACAGGGUCUCACUGUGUAGUUCAGACUGGCUUUCAACUCACUAUGUAGCUGAAAGUAGCAUCAAAUUUACUGUGAUCCUUCUGCCUCAGCCUCCAGUGUUGGAAUUACAGGCAUGUGUCACCAUGCCUGGUGAGUUUAACUAAAAGAGAUGCAGAGUGCACAUUCCCUUAGAAAAGAUGAUAAAUUUGAGUCAAAGUUAGUGAUGUUUGCUUAGGAAAAGACAACAUAAACAGAGUGAAAAGCUAUAAACUGGAGUAAGAUAUUUGCAACUUGAAUAACUGACAUAUCAGUAAGUAAAAGGAAAAAAGAAUGACACCAAGGAAUUAAAAAGAAACCAGGAUGUAUAACUAACAAAACGUUACUUG
Chinchilla lanigera (long-tailed chinchilla) is the source of this 4661-nucleotide long non-coding RNA. The record is from Ensembl. NCBI's taxonomy places the organism in Eukaryota, Metazoa, Chordata, Mammalia, Rodentia, Chinchillidae.